GAUGAACGCUGGCGGUAUGCUUAACACAUGCAAGUCGAACGGACUCUUCGGAGUUAGUGGCGGACGGGUGAGUAACGCGUGAGAAUCUGGCUUUGGGUUCGGGACAACCACUGGAAACGGUGGCUAAUACCGGAUGUGCCGAGAGGUAAAAGAGAAAUUGCCUGAAGAUGAGCUCGCGUCUGAUUAGCUAGUUGGUGAGGUAAAGGCUCACCAAGGCAACGAUCAGUAGCUGGUCUGAGAGGAUGACCAGCCACACUGGGACUGAGACACGGCCCAGACUCCUACGGGAGGCAGCAGUGGGGAAUUUUCCGCAAUGGGCGAAAGCCUGACGGAGCAAUACCGCGUGAGGGAAGAAGGCUCUUGGGGUGUAAACCUCUUUUCUUAGGGAAGAACAAAAUGACGGUACCUAAGGAAUCAGCAUCGGCUAACUCCGUG
Molecule: ribosomal RNA, 435 nt
Filed under: uncultured bacterium
Lineage: Bacteria
Description: partial 16S ribosomal RNA
Rfam family: Bacterial small subunit ribosomal RNA
Source: RNAcentral